GGGGGCGACAAGGCUUCGACGUGGGUUACGAAACCUGAGGUGCAUGCCGAGGUGCAGAUUACCUCGUAAAUCCAACUGCAAAAAAUAUAGUUGCCAACGACGACAACUACGCACUAGCAGCUUAAUAACCUGCCUAGCGCCCUCUGACCAAGUCUGUGCUUGUGCACUUGGACCCAGGGGUCGACUCUCACAAGAUCGCGAUGAAACUUGUCCGGAGUGGAUUCGCUAAAACCUAACGGAAUCGCCGCAUAUCUUCCCUGCCCGUCGGGUAGUGUGUGGUUAAACUAAUAGACGCGGAUAAGCAUGUAGAGCCGAAGGCAGAGGAUUUGCGGACGCGGGUUCGAUUCCCGCCGCCUCCACCA
Molecule: transfer-messenger RNA, 362 nt
Filed under: Gammaproteobacteria (g-proteobacteria)
Lineage: Bacteria; Pseudomonadati; Pseudomonadota
Also listed under: 1 other name
Description: JAADGQ01 sp013152295 Standard tmRNA
Rfam family: transfer-messenger RNA
About the family: Bacterial tmRNA, also known as 10Sa RNA or SsrA, is named for its dual tRNA and mRNA-like properties.
Source: RNAcentral